UACGAAGGGGGCUAGCGUUGCUCGGAAUCACUGGGCGUAAAGGGCGCGUAGGCGGAUCUUUAAGUUAGAGGUGAAAGCCUGGAGCUCAACUCCAGAACUGCCUUUAAUACUGGGGAUCUUGAGUUCGGGAGAGGUGAGUGGAACUGCGAGUGUAGAGGUGAAAUUCGUAGAUAUUCGCAAGAACACCAGUGGCGAAGGCGGCUCACUGGCCCGAUACUGACGCUGAGGCGCGAAAGCGUGGGGAGCAAACAGG
Molecule: ribosomal RNA, 253 nt
Filed under: uncultured bacterium
Lineage: Bacteria
Description: partial 16S ribosomal RNA
Rfam family: Bacterial small subunit ribosomal RNA
Source: RNAcentral